Molecule: long non-coding RNA, 1448 nt
Organism: Dendroctonus ponderosae (mountain pine beetle)
Lineage: Eukaryota; Metazoa; Arthropoda; Insecta; Coleoptera; Curculionidae
Exons: 2
Source: RefSeq, a predicted model, not a curated record
AUCGAUUGCGGCGAUUCGAACCUAGCGGUUUGUUAUGAUUUAAGACCAUUUAAGUGUUGGACUUUGACUGUGAGGUAUACGGCACGUCCUGUCACUUCUAUCGAUUGCGGCGAUUCGAACCAAUCAAGUAAGCCUACCGGUUUGUUGUUAUCGAACGUAUCGUUGACAAGUUCUACAAAUGAGUUAAGACGAUUUAAGGUUAGGUGGUAUUGUUUAUUGUUUGUAAACAACCGCGAGUCCGCCAAUCAUUUUUUUUCAUUCUCGCGUGCAUUUCGAACGUUAUAUAAGCUCUAGAUAAAAAUGACAAACGAAUAGUAUCGUACAGAAAUUCAUACGUAAAUUGUAUACGCUCUUGGCUAGUAAUUUUUAAUUUUUUAGGAGGGAUUGUUUGAAUUUGUUGGAACAAAAAUAAUAGCAUUGCCUUUAUAUUAGCGCAAAGAAAGACAUUGAUAAUUAUGAGUAUUUCUUAAUUUAUAACAAUUUACAAUUGAUAUAUUCUGAUGAACUUAAAUAGGUAUUAGAUUUUGUGUUCGUAGUAUAAGCAACUUAAACCAUUAAAUAAAUCUCCUAAAAAGUUCGGUUUAUUGUAUAUUUGACAGUUAUUGAAUAUCCUUACAUACAUCGAUACAUUUCUAUGGAUAGUUUUCAAAUUAGUAAAUACAUUCCAUAGAUUUAUUUAUCGGUAAAACUUAUAAUAAACAUCACCCAAGUGGCAAUAACAAGUAAGAGUGUUUAUGACAUUAAAUACUAAAAAUGUAAUAAAAAAAGUUGUAUUAUUGUUAAAAUAUUUAAAAUUUCUGAUUACAAAUCUUAGUAUUUUAUACGCCUGAUAUAAUGAAAUUAAUUCACAUAGUACAUAAAAACAUACUAAAAAGUCGAACUACGUUGUUGGCAUUCCACUUUUGUUGGAAUAGUGUAAAAAGGCAAUUAUUUUCAUGUGUUGCUUAGUGUGACAUGUUAAACAAGAAGUAAAUGGAAACAGAAGAUACCAGCAAUUAUUUUGCUUAAUAUUUCUUGACUCUUACAAUAGUAAUUUUAUUUUUUCUGUUACUUCAAAAUUAAAAAAUCGUUGAUAAUUUGUUUUAAUUAAAUUUGCACAUUGCACAUAGGAAAAUAAUUUAAGCCAACUAUCUAUUUGCUCAAUAAUACAUUUUUAUUAUUAAAACGCCCCAUUUGGUGUACAUAAUAUAAUGAGUAACGUUAAAAAACACAUCGUUAAGUUCUUCUAAAUCAAACUUUAUAAGUUCAAUAAUUUUAUCAAUAUUAAUUAAGUUAACACAGUCAAAGUCCAACACUAUAUUAAUAAAAUCCAAAGAGUUUACGGUUACAACAAAAUACUGGGAAAAAAUCGCCUAACCUUAAAUCGUCUUAAAUCAUAACAAACCGCUAGGUUCGAAUCGCCGCAAUCGAUAGAAUUGACAAGAAGUGCCGUAUACCUAGACGCUUGU